UCCUUGGCCGAGAGGCCUGGGUAAUCUUGUAAACUCCGUCGUGCUGGGGAUAGAGCAUUGCAAUUAUUGCUCUUCAACGAGGAAUUCCUUGUAAGCGCAAGUCAUCAGCUUGCGUUGAACGUGUCCCUGCCUUUUGUACACACCGCCCGUCGCUACUACCGAUUGAAUGGCUUAGUGAGGAGUUCGGACUGCGUUCGG
RNAcentral lists this ribosomal RNA (198 nucleotides) under Tortispora starmeri. Its description in RNAcentral is "partial small subunit ribosomal RNA". It matches the Rfam family "Eukaryotic small subunit ribosomal RNA", at positions 1526 to 1724 of the family's 1831-position model. The record is from RNAcentral. Lineage: Eukaryota; Fungi; Ascomycota; Trigonopsidomycetes; Trigonopsidales; Trigonopsidaceae.